Molecule: long non-coding RNA, 4093 nt
Organism: Mesocricetus auratus (golden hamster)
Lineage: Eukaryota; Metazoa; Chordata; Mammalia; Rodentia; Cricetidae
Exons: 2
Source: RefSeq, a predicted model, not a curated record
GCCUCGGCUUGCUCAGCAAGUGCCUUUGUCUGGUGAAUCAUCUCAAAGGCCCUGCUCAAGCAAUCUAGAUGUCGAAAUCAUCCAAUAAAUGUUUUCCAGGAUACAAGAAUGAAUACCGACAUCGGGAUUUCUCUCCCAAACAAAUCUUAGGGUGUGUGACGGUUGGUUUUGAUCGUCAAGGUUAGGAAAUGCCCUGGAGGUUAUUAAAGCUCACUUCUGGGGCGCUUCUAUAGUGACGUUUGCACACAGUUAGACUCCAAGGCUGCUGAUUUAAUCAAUGGAUUUGUCCCUCGAUGGAUUCAUAGUCGGGUGGCAAUGGUGGGACCUGGUGGGCGGCAGAAGGCCAAAGAGGGUGAGCCAUGGGGUUGUCCCCUGGGGUCUUCUAUCUUGCUGACCUCUCCCUGAGUUCACUCUCUCCCUACGCUCCCUCCACCAGAGCUGCUAGCGACAGAGUCCAGGCCUUGGCUCCCACACCAAUAAAGAGACAAUAGUGAAAAGAGAAAGUCGUAGAUGUAUUUAGCACGACUGCAGUGGGAAGAGAAACAAAUGACUGAGUCCCUGCCCUGCCCGUUCUGGGGAAGUAGAAGUGUUUUCAGUCUUGGUGGACUGCAGCAACAGUAGCCCCGACACAGACAGCAUGUGGAGGCCCCACUGCGUGGGUUCGGCUGGGUGUGGUCAGAGUCCUUGGGCCAAGCAGGCUGUGUUCAACCAGCAAGAGCAGCUCAAGCUGCCAGAGGACGGCUUUGCUGGCGGUCUCUCUUUCUUGGCACCACCACACUUUUUGCACAGUGGCUUGUCUGUAAAGUCACCACUAGGAACAUAGAUGCGUCUCCUCUCUAUCCAGCGCAGGCCAGAAAGACCCCCUCCUGCCGGGGAUGAGGGCUAGCAUGCACAUUACCAUUUCCGUGUGCACACUCCUUCCCAGACCUUGGUGGGGAGGAGACCUGCUUCCAAACUGUUCAAGGCUGAGACCUCACCAGCAGAGGGCAGGGAAACCAAGGAAGCUAUGCGUAUUACUUGCCUGUAGCAUUUAAAAAAUGUCAUUUGAAUUAGAAAGCAAGAGGGAAUCUCGAGAAUAUUGGACAAAAAGCUGUCAAGAGCUGCCUCCGCCCUGCUCCAUUCUUGCCCCUGUUCUGAGGUGUUGUGCAUCUAGCUGGUUCCUGGCACACCCUAACAGGUGUUCCACCUCUGGGCUACAGCCGCAGCCUGAGGUGUAGGACUUUAACAUGCUUCAUUUUAUUUUUAUGUGUGUGGCUCUUUAACCGCCGAACCAUUCUUAUAGCACCAUAUGACUCUUUUUUUUUUUUUUUUGGUUUUAGGAGACAGGGUUUCUCUGUAUUGUUUUGGAGGCUGUUGGUACAGCCCGGCCUCGAACUCACAGAGAUCUGCCUGCCUCUGCCUCCCGAGUGCUGGGAUUAAAGUCGUGUGCCACCACCACCCGGCUGCAUCAUAUGACUCUUAAGAGCACAAGAACUCUCAGUAGCAAGGGUUUGGUGGUGUUGCAGGAGGGUUCUGCUACUCGGGGUCUCAGACAAGUUCUGGCGUGAGGUGGGAAACCGAGGACCUGGAGAAGGGCGUCCCCUCAGCCCAGGUGUGAGAACAAGGGACUGUUGAAGGCUCUGCUAGCUCCUCUACCGGUGUCCAGCUCCGAGAGCACUGGGGAGGAGGCGGCGGAAAGAAUGUGAGGACCAAAGGGUGUGCUAGAGUGUUGCAAUACCCUCUUCCAGGCACGGUGUGAUUCUUGUACUCUAACUCUUAGCAGAUGGGCCAACCCACCUGCACAAGGCCGGCAGAAGGAUCGAACCCAGGUCCUUGGCAAAAGUAGCCAUUCUCCAGCCCUCUAGUGAGCCUUUCUUUGCUCAGCUUGACCUAUGUAAAAUUGGGAGAGGUGCCCAUCCUGUACCACCAAAACCACUUCAAAGACCCAUGCCCUCCCAGAGGGCUGGGUUUCUGUUUCUGAAGCCCUUCUCCAUUUGUAGGUAUUUCCCAUGCCUGUUGCUGUAUACUGUGCCUGAGAUAUUCUCCCUGUCUUUUAACUUUUUAAUUGGCAGGGAAAAUGAAUCUGAUCAAAACUCUGAGGGUAACUGCAAGCUCACUUUUACCCAGCCCUGGAGCUCCUUUGGGUGAAGACUAUAACCGGACGAGGGCUCAGUAUACCACAUUUUACUUUUGAAUCAUUUUCCCUUCCUCCAUUCUGUUAUAGGCCGUCAGAAUCACCAACCCACACCUGCAGCACGGUGCUCAGUCAUGUCUUUUGCUAAAAAUCAACUCCUUUUCCUGUAAGCUCCGAAAAUACUAGGAAAGGAAGAGAAUCAGAUCAAGUUCUUCACCGCUCUAUAGCAAGGGUAGCCAGUUUCCAGCGGCAUAGUCCCGACUCUGCAACCUCCGAGAGUCUUAGUGACAUUCUCCCCCAGGCUUGUGAUCAUGACCAUGCCAUGUUCUCGGUCUCCUUUAUUCCCUAGUCCUCCCUAGAAUCUCCCUUUAAGGUGACGGAGACUCAAGACAACCAUAUGGUAGUUUGGCUCUGAGGCCUGGGCGCUUCCUCUGGACUCUGCUUUGUCAGUUUAUCAAGAGACCACGCCCUCCAUGUCUGACCAGGCUCCUCACCUGCGUCCUUUAGGUGACAUCUAGGGACCCUGGCCUGACAGAGUUCCCUGCAUCCUGAUGUUUCCUCUUUAGGUUUUCCAUCUGCCAACUCCCUCAUUCCUUGACUCUAAACCCCUAUUCCCUCAUGUUGAAUUGAGAAUUGAGAUCAGUCCCCCCCCUGCCCCUGCCCUGCACCAAACCCUCCUGGGUGGACCCUGUGCUUGUUGGUCGGCCUUUAAUAGAGUCGGCCUUGCUACUUUAAUAAGUGUCAUGGAUUAAAUUUAUCUGUCUCUUUGUGAAUUCAUUCUAUUGCUCAGGCUGUCCAUCCUCGUGCCUCAGUCUCCGGAAUGAUCAGGUUAUAGCUGUGUGCUCCAUAUCCCACUAAUUUCCCUUUAACAAGGUUCUGCCUGUAGCUGGGAAAUCUCUGUCACCCCAUUCCCACAUAUCAGACGUCUGUUACAGUCUCACCCCACAGCUGACACCAGUUUGCCCAGUCCUUCAGACUUCCACUUUGCAACAACACUAAGACUGGGCAGUGAUAGCCCACAGGAACUGGUGACCCCAAGCUCUGGAGCCCGCAAGUCCAAGAUGUAAGCGUCUGCAGAUCGAGGACCUGGCAAGGGGCUUGCCCCCACAUAGCAGAAGGGGCAGAAGGCUCUUGGGGUUCUGUUUAGUGACCGUUUCCAGUGCCUACCCCACUCCAUCCUUGGGCGGGACACAAACAGGGCUGGGUCCAGGCUGAACACUCCCACAGAUGACUCGGGAAGAGUGGUCUGCGCUGCACACUGCUGAUGCCACAGAGGGGACAGGAAGACAGCAGUGGCACAAAACGGACUUUGCUCCUUUCCCCGAUUUCGACCAAGAAUCCUCCUCUGCCUAGAAGCAGGUGCCAUCCCAGGAGUCCUUGAGCCCUGGGAUGGAUGCUGCCAUGCUCCAGGAGUUACUGCCCAGAACACCUGCCAACACCGAGAUCCUCCGCUCUGCCGUUGACUUUGCCUGGAGGGGCUUUUUGACCUUCACGUGAAGGGCCCAGCCCCUCCCCCAGCCCCUGCCUUGCUUCCACACAGGCUGCAGAAAAGACCCAGUAAGACACAGGCCCCUGACUCAGCAACAGGGGCUGAGCCCCAACCUUGCCCUGAUCACUAGGAAGUCAGACAUCCUCCACGCGGCAAGGAACCAAUCAGAAGUCAGCUGGUGGGCUCUGGAUGUGCUUUACUGACAAUAGUGGAAGGCAGGGCAUAGCAACUGCCCUGGGAUGGCCUCCAGGCACAGCAACCUUUCUGUAGCUGCAGCUGACCAAUCAACCCAGAGGAACACCAAUCCUGAGACUGUUGCUAUGCAACUAGCAGAUCCCAGACACUCCUCUUGCUCUAUCCCCAACAUAUGCCCUGCCCCACUGCUGCUUGGGGUCCCUCCUACUCCACCUGCUGUGUUGGACAGACAUAGGACCUGAGUUAACCUCAGUUAAGUCGUUAAUAAAAAAGGACUCUUUGCUUUUGCAUCGGAA